UAAUUAAUGAUAUAUUAGUGAUUGUAGCACAAUUAUUGACUUGGAUUAAAAGGAAUCCAUAUUGGUGCUUUAAUUAAAUUUAACAUAAUUUUCAAAACAAACGUGUAGAAAUUCAAAUCAUAAACUAGUUAUUUUUGUUUGUGGUACAAUAAAUCAAAUUAGUUAUUCACUACAUAAAUAAUGGAUCAUAAACGAGUUAGUGGUAAUGACGAUACAGUUCCACCCUCUUUACUAAAGGCGUCGUGUCAAAAAGGAUGAGUAUAUAGAAUCAAU
Molecule: long non-coding RNA, 273 nt
Filed under: Lathyrus oleraceus (garden pea)
Lineage: Eukaryota; Viridiplantae; Streptophyta; Magnoliopsida; Fabales; Fabaceae
Description: Pisum sativum (pea) long non-coding RNA (PSAT_LNC034813)
Source: RNAcentral